Long non-coding RNA from Mesocricetus auratus (golden hamster), 2440 nucleotides. RefSeq lists it as uncharacterized. The record is from RefSeq and is a predicted model, not a curated record. The transcript is spliced from 3 exons. Lineage: Eukaryota; Metazoa; Chordata; Mammalia; Rodentia; Cricetidae.
GAGAGCCGGGGGCGGGACGGGCGCCGGGGCGGGGCCGAGAUGGGAGGAGCUAACUGCAGGCCCCGCCCUCCUCUCCCUGGAGAGACCCGGACAGGCCUAUUGGGCAUAGUCUUAAAGGGCUAGCUCUCCUCGCGCUCUUCCCAGCAUGAAAUCUGUCCCGAAAUUGUAGGACUCUGCUUCCUUACCUAUAAGACAGCCGCAACUUGCGCCCAAGUUUCUCUUUCAGCUGCAGAGAAUGCGGUUCCUUAGACCCGUGGGUGGUGUGGGUGGCUUGUAACCGUAGUGUGAACACCGUCUUGUGCCUGAUCUGGAGGCUUCCUAGGGCCCGGGCUGCUGGAGGAUGGACCCAUCCACCCCCACACACACCUCUGCCUCUUUCACCAUCCCUGCGCCGACCGGGGACCUUAUUCCAGACCUCCCGCCAACAUAGACACAAGCAUUCGCGCCUCAAGUUUAUUGAGCGCCUGUUGCAUGCACAACUUCAAUACUGAAAAUAUAUGACAUGUGGCAGCUCCGAGACACAGAGGACGAGGAAGGACCGUGGCUACUCAUGUGGGUUCUCCAGCCACUCGCCAGCCCGCUAAGACUUUUCCAACUAAGUUCGAUUCCUAGAACCUGCUGCCCAGGAACUGAGACUUCCGGUGGCCACGUGAGCCACGUGAUUCGGUCUUGGGCUCUUUAGGCAACAGUUCAAUACGGGAAGUUGCAUCCCAGAGCCCAUUGACUCUGAGGCUACUUAGGGCCGUGGCUUCAGUGGCAUCUCCUUCUCACUCAGGGCCGUAUCCAUGCGGACCUCCAGGACACGGAUGGCCUUCACCGGCCACUGUUUCUGCAAGACACUGGACCCUUUGGAAAGUGAUGUAGUGAACUGAGGGCGCACACACCUCCGCCCCAAGCACCUCUUGCGAGAGCAAUUGGAACAGAGGGCAAUUUGUGGAGGAGGACACUAGCCGCCUCUCCGGCUCCGGGCCUCAAAGGACUCCUGGCAGCGGCGCAAAGCCGGCCGGAAGACAGCCGCACCGCCCCUCCCGGUCCAGGCCCAGCCUGCCUGGCCAAGGAUCAAAGAGACAGGGCCUUGCUUCUCAGCGCUCAGAUCCUAUCAGCGCCCUGCCAGCGAGGCUUCUGGGUCCUCCAGCUCCCGGUUGGGAUGCCCAUUUUUUCUCCCUCCCCAGAGCUGAGGGACUUGGCCAUUAGUGCUCAGCUUGGCAAUAGAGACGCGGUGCGGAUCCUGUCCUUGGAGCCUCUGGAGUCUUCCUCCCGCAGGUGCCAGCUUGCUGCUGAUUUUGACCCCAUCCUUUCAAGACUGGGGGCAGGGCAGGAGCUCCAACGGAAAGAGACAGGAGAGGAAAGAUCCCGGGGCGAGACCUCCCUGACCUCAGCUCUGAGGUUGUCGGGUCUGGUUCUGGGAUGACCACCUUUCUGAGAAAGUUGCUGAGAAAUUAAGAUCAUCGUAAGCACUGUGAAUCCUCCUGAACGACUCCAGUUUAGGCAAAGUUGCUUCCAUGCUGGUUAGCAUACUAUGAGCUCCCAACUGAUGCAGGCCAUUGGGGACCAAAUUUCUCUCUAUCCAAGAAGACAAGUCAGGGAAGGAGAGAUGUGAUCCCCACCCCCGCCGCAGGCUAAUUUUUUUCCCAACUUGGCAUUGCCCUUUUAUCAAAGAGCAAGGUCUUUCUACUUCAUUGGUGCAGUAAGCAGCUUGUCUUCAAACGGUAGCGAAAAGGGAAUUUUUUAUAUGCCCUUAUUUGGCAAAAGAAAAUAUACUUUUUCCUGAUGUGUUCACCCUCCCACCCUCAAGUGUCUUUGGAUGACUUUAUAGAGCUGUGAAAUCCCCCAAGCCUGGGAACCACUGCCCUGAGGGAUCCUGGGCUCUCAGCCUCACCCGAUCUGGCCAAAUUCCAUACUGGAUUCCCAACAAAUGUAUCUGGAAUUCACUCAGAAGGAAUUAUCUGGGUCAGAGACAGCAAGGUACCCAAGAAUGACCUUCAGCUCCCACUCUUUCUGAAUACUGGGCUUGCAGACCUACACCAUUGCUUUUAUGUGGUACUGGGAAUGAAUCCUGGACUUCACGCUUGCGGGGGAGCAGGGGGGGCAGAUGUUUAUCAAUUCUCCUGGAUUUCCACCACUCCUGGUUUGGGCUUCUGUUGCUGUGAUGAACACCGUGACUGAAGCAAGUUGGGGAGGAAACGGUUUAUUUGGCUCAGGCUCCCACAUCACAGUCCAUCCCUGAAGGAAGUCAGGACAGGAACUCAAGCAGAGCAGGAUCUUAGAGCAGGAGCUGACGCAGAGGGCGUGGAAGGGGACUGCUUACUGGCUCGAUCAUUAUGGCUUCCUCAGCCUGAUUUGUUAUGGAACUCAAAAAUCACCAGCCUAGGGAUGGCCUCACCCACAGUGGGCUGAGCCCUCCCCCAUCAAUCACUAAUUAAUUACAACCAGAUCUUAU